Pan paniscus (pygmy chimpanzee) is the source of this 1677-nucleotide long non-coding RNA. Lineage: Eukaryota; Metazoa; Chordata; Mammalia; Primates; Hominidae. The record is from Ensembl.
AACAGCAGGAUGUGGGUGGGGCCAGAUAAGAGAAUAAAAGCAGGCUGCCUGAGCCAGUAGUGGCAACCCGCUUGAGUCAGCUUCUGCAUUGUGGAAGGUUUGUUCUUUCUCUCUUUGCAGUAAAUCUUACUGCUGCUCACUUCUUGGGUCCACACUGCGUUUAUUAGCUGCAACGCUCACUACUAUGGUCUGCAGCUUCACUCCUGAAGCCAGUGAGACCACGAACCCACCAGAAUGAAGAAACUCCGAACACAUCCGAACAUCAGAAGGAACAAACUCCGGACAGGCGGCCUUUAAGAACUGUAACGCUCACCUCGAGGGUCUGCGGCUUCAUUCUUGAAGUCAGUGAGACCAAGAACCCACCAAUUCCGGACACAAUGUUACCCCAGAUAAUCAGCGCCAUUUUCUGAAGCUUGAGAUGCAGGAAAAGAGGAGUGCUAUCCAUUAGAUGGAGACAGGAAGUAGAAAAAGCACUUGGGCAAACAGCUGAUAGGAGUUCAUUUUGUGAAGCUGUGACGAGUUUUCCAGUAGACCAUGAGCUUGCUGAUGGCAGGAGCCUGCCUGUCCUUGAUCCUUGUUUCUGUGGGGUCUGUCCCAGUGCCUGGCACAGUGGCUUUGGAGAUGGAAGGAAUAGAGGGAGAGCAGAUCCUCAAACACAGCCUGCAUCUCUCCCUGCUCCCCUCCCACCCUCCAGUUUUCCAGCCAGAGGCAUUUGCUCUAAGGCCCAGGCUGUGGCCCACCUAUCACCGCUACCCAAGUAGUACAGGUAUGAUUGUCUGUUUACUUUCUUUAAUUCAAAUCACACUAGAGAAAUUUCAGGACUCACUCACUGAUAAAUCAUGGUUACUUACCUCUUGUCUAGGCCCUUGGGCAAGGGUGCAUUGAUGCAUCUACUAUGAUUGCCUGGUUAUCUUGGUCUUGGAAGCACCUAGUAAUGAAAGAACCCAGAGAAAGAUAAACAGAGCCAAGGGAGCCAAGGUUAAUCUUUCUGAGCCUAUUUCUUCCUUUAUGUAACUGGAAUAUUGUUUCCUGCCCCACCUACUUCACAAGGCUGAAAUGAGGAUUAAGCAAGUUAAUGGCUCUCAAGGUCCACCAGGAAGGAUGGAGUUCUAGAUACAUAUUGGGUUCCUCUAGUCCUUACAUAUUGCAAAAGACUUGGGUAAAGCUUCUGGAAGAGCUAGGCUGACCAAUCUUCCUGACUUACCCAGGACUGAGGGAUUCCUUGGGAUGCCGGAAUUUCUGUACUAAAACCAGGAAAAUACAAGGCAAACCUGGUUGAGGUUGAGUUGGUCACUCUACACAGAGGUAGCACUUAACCAGUGUCUGUCCUGGGCUAUAAUGGUGUCCCUCCAAAACUCAUGUUGAAGCCCCAGUACUUUAGAAUGUGACUGUAUUCGAAGAUGGGGCAUUGAAAAGAGGUGAUUAAGUUAAAAGGAGGCCAUCAGGGUGGGCUCUAUUCCAAUCUGACUGGUGUCCUUACAGGAAGAGGAAAUUUGAAGAGGAAAAGAGGCACCAGGGAUGAGGACACACCGAGAAAAGACCAUGUGAAGACAUGGUGAGAAGACAGCCAGCUGCAAGCCAAGGAGUGAGGCCUCAGAAGAAACCAACCCUGCCGAUACCUUGACCUUGGACUUCUAGUCUCCAGAAUUAUGCGAAAAUAAAUUCCUGUUGUUUAAG